Pongo pygmaeus (Bornean orangutan) is the source of this 591-nucleotide long non-coding RNA. RefSeq lists it as uncharacterized. NCBI's taxonomy places the organism in Eukaryota, Metazoa, Chordata, Mammalia, Primates, Hominidae. The record is from RefSeq and is a predicted model, not a curated record. The transcript is spliced from 5 exons.
UUUCCAUUCUCCUGUGCUGACUGAAACGAAGUAUGACACCAGUCUUGCCCAGGCAAGCUGCUUCUUGUGAAUAGGAAGUGAACAACCCUGGAUUCCAGGCCAGGGGGAGAGAGAUAUGAACUCAUCAGCAGAAAUGUGAGUCCUUCCCAGCUUCUCCAUGCUGAUACUCCAUGGUUCUCCUACCACCAGAUGCUACUGAGGCUAAACUGACUGGACUGAGGAAAAAUAUCUGUGGGGAAAACUGUCUUUCAGAAUCCAACUUUGAACCAGAGAAAUCCAUUCUCUUGAGGCUGUCUGCUGUGGAGAAGUUGGCCUCACCAAUCUGUCUUUGGAAUUCAAGUUAUACAGGAUCUGCAAGGCUACCAGUGAAUGAAUGGUAGUUGGUCACUACUUGCAAGUUUUUCGGGAGCUCCUGAAAGAUUACUGCAUAAACAAAUGAGGAUGGAGAUCAGACCUCUGGCUACUGUUGCUGCCACCACCACAGCCACCACCUUCACCCUCAUGAACCCCCUAUUUACUGAACACUCUCUAUAUGCCAGAUGCAAAAUUGGCUACCACAUUGGAAACUGAUAUUGAAUUUCUCAACGAGUC